This 807-nucleotide ribosomal RNA is filed under the name Pseudodiamesa branickii. RNAcentral describes it as "SSU rRNA". It matches the Rfam family "Eukaryotic small subunit ribosomal RNA", at positions 53 to 805 of the family's 1831-position model. Lineage: Eukaryota; Metazoa; Arthropoda; Insecta; Diptera; Chironomidae. The record is from RNAcentral.
GCAUGUCUAAGUACAAACUAUAAUAAAGUGAAACCGCAAAAGGCUCAGUAUAACAGCUGUAAUUUCUUGGAUCAUAUUCCCAGUUACUUGGAUAACUGUGGAAAAUCUAGAGCUAAUACAUGCAAACAAUACAAGUGAUUGUCGUCAAAAGCAGUUUCUUGUGCAGUUAUUAGACAAACCAAUCGACCUUUACCGGUUGUUUCAUUUGGUGGAACUCUAGAUAACUUUGCUGAUCGUAUGGCCUCUGUGCCGACGACAGAUCUUUCAAAUGUCUGCCCUAUCAACUAUUGAUGGUAGUAUAGAGGACUACCAUGGUUGCUACGGGUAACGGGGAAUCAGGGUUCGAUUCCGGAGAGGGAGCCUGAGAAAUGGCUACCACAUCUAAGGAAGGCAGCAGGCGCGUAAAUUACCCACUCCCGGCACGGGGAGGUAGUGACGAAAAAUAACAAUAUAGAACUAGUUAACUAUGUUCUGUAAUUGGAAUGAGUUAAUUAUAAAUCCUUUAACAAGGAUCAAGUGGAGGGCAAGUCUGGUGCCAGCAGCCGCGGUAAUUCCAGCUCCACUAGCGUAUAUUAAAAUUGUUGCGGUUAAAACGUUCGAAGUUGAUUAUUGUCCAGUACGAGUGUUGUUCCAUCAAGUAAAUGUGGAUACAAUCAUUUUCGAUACUUGGACUAUUUGACUGAACACUAUUAAUGGAUAGGACAAGACACCUUUCACUAGGUUAUUGUCUCUUUCAGUUCAGCUUGGUAUUACCUUGAACAAAUUAAGGUGCUCAAAGCAGGCAAUUUAUAUGCCGUUGAAUAUUUU